Molecule: small nucleolar RNA, 69 nt
Filed under: Erythranthe guttata (spotted monkey flower)
Lineage: Eukaryota; Viridiplantae; Streptophyta; Magnoliopsida; Lamiales; Phrymaceae
Description: Mimulus guttatus (spotted monkey flower) Small nucleolar RNA snoR8a
Rfam family: Small nucleolar RNA snoR8a
Source: Rfam by way of RNAcentral
UGGUUGGCGGUGAUUAUAAAAGUAAUUCCUCGUUCUGAAUGCUUCAAAGCUUGAUAGAAUAUGAGCUUC